CCGGCUAAAGGACAUCUCGUUGUGCGUGAGUUGCUGCCUUUGUCUCCGUGUCUGCGUCUCUGUGUGCGUAUGUGGUAAAUUAAUAAUGCAUUCGAUAUCGAAGCCACUUUGCAUUCAAAUUCAAUUGUGCAUGCGUGCAAAUUCAAUUCCCCAAAGCCCAAAAGCAUAAACUAAAUUAUAUUGCUGCAAAAUUUAAAUGCGCAACUAUUUUCGUUGCACUCAGGCACAUGACAAUUGCAAUGGCAAGUGUCAAAAAAGGAAGCGGCUUCGGCUAAGCCAACCAGUGCCCGGUAUCCCUUCGCAGAAAUAUCCACCUCCCCCCACAUAAAUACUGGCAACGCAAUCCAAACCUGCAACACAAUCACGUUUCAAUUAACAGCCAUGGCCCGCACUGUACUGCACUGUACUUCAGCAGCAUUGCACUGUGCUGGCCAUUUGGUGCUGGCCAUAUUCGUAUGUAAAACACGCACGCAACGGCUGCUCAUCGGGCAGGGCUUAAUGGCCAGGGUCCUGGACAUCAUAAUUCCGGCCACAAUUCCCAAACACCGCAAACACAUAAGGGAGUGUGCAGCGGGUUGGAUGGGUUAGGGGUGGCAGGUGGUUGGGUCAGCAGUUGCAGUCGACCAGGCCAAAGUUCUAUGGGGCCCACGAACUAAUUACGUUAAUAUGCGACAACGUUUUCAUAGGCGAAAAAUGUUUGCUGCACUGCGGGCGCUCUACACUCAACGAAUAUUAUUGGCCAAAUUGGCAAUUAGUGUAACACAAUUUUACAAAUCGGGCUUUAUCAACCAAAGUGGGCGUUUAAGGCUUUCUCAGAUUAUUUUAAUCAAGGUAUAUUACGAUUUACAAAAUCUUGUUUUAUGAAACUCCUUUUAACAAAAUUGGAGAGCUAUAACAUCUUAUAUGUGUAUAAUAUUUCUAAUUUUAAUUUAUUUACCAUAAGUCCUAGCCCUAUUUGGCUAAGUGCAGUGAAGGGUUAAGAGGAAGGUGUUGCAUAUGCCAUUGGAUAACCAAGACUGGUGUAAAUGAUUGAAGCACAACAGGGGUCACUCGAGGAAUGCUCGAUUGGAUUUCGAAGGCAGCAUUAGCAAAACUUGCCGAAUUAUCCAAGGAGCUGUCAGUGGGGAAAACGGCUAGCCACAUCGCUGCUGCCCCCUCCCCCCUUCCCAACUUCCGCUGGAGAAGAUGCAACUGUUUGGAUGCCGGACUAUUAGGAAUGCCAACACAACGGACCCGGAUGAGCGGACGUGGACCAGUUGCGUACGUGUUGAACAUCGGUUACCAUACCUGCUGCAGGACACACUAAGCCAAGCGGCAUUACCCAGCUCCGAUCCCAGCCCCAACGUCCAUAUAACCAUAAAGCCAUCCCAUUCCCAAUCCCAUAUCCGCCACCAUCACCACCACCACCCCCCGCGUGUGUGCAUUCAUAAAUAAGGCAUCCAACGAGGCAGACUCAGCAGGGAGCACAACUCCAGGCUGACCUGUCCAUCCAGGUUAACGGGAAGACGCACAUAGCAACACACAGUUACACUAAAGUAUCUGCAUACUGUCCAUAUGUAUCUACGCAUUUUUCAGUGCAACUUUUCCCUUGGCGCACACAUAUUCGAUCACUCGCUCACGUAGCUCUCUCAAAGUCCUGCGGCCCAUUCUCGUGCGGAAAAAGGACGAGUGACAGGACGGGAAGUGGACAGAUGGAUGCUGCUCUUGCUGUUGACAGUGCCUGCUGUCAUUCAUUCAUUAAUGCAUUUUCCUGAUUUUCACUCAUUUAACUCUAUAGAUUUUUCAUUUUGCCUAUUACGAGCAGGGCAUCAGGACACCAGGGUCAGCUGCUGGAUGGGAAAUAGAAGAGGUGGAUGGCUUGGGUGUGGCAUGGGAAUGGCAAUGAGGACGACGUGGCCGUCGGCUCUCGCAUGUCCUGACCUCUUUGGCCUGCCCUGUUGGUUUUGUCCUGGCCCCGGGAGCCAUGCUUCAUUUACUUUGUUGUCGGUGGCCAUUAGUUUUGACGCACU
This is a long non-coding RNA of Drosophila simulans, 2009 nucleotides long. RefSeq lists it as uncharacterized. The record is from RefSeq and is a predicted model, not a curated record. Lineage: Eukaryota; Metazoa; Arthropoda; Insecta; Diptera; Drosophilidae. The transcript has 3 exons.